AUGUACUGCAAAAUGCAAAGAAAAAGAAUGCUAAUGUGGAGAUGGCUGAUGCUCCAUCAUCAAAGAAAGUGCCUCAAACUCGGCUGCUCCCCAAACUUCGUUUACGGGCAACUUAACCUUCACUAUUGAAGAAAGUGACGUGUAUGUGCACUUUGUCUAUACUUGAUAAGUAUGUCAAAUAUUAUUCGUUGUGUAUGAUUGUUACUUGUUUCUCAGCAGAAUUAAUUUCUUCAAAGACGCGGCUGAAGUUGUUGAGGUUCGUUUUGCAAUAAGGGAUGAUCGAUUUGCAGGCUAAGUGCAUGUUGACUUUGUUACUCGUGAGGCUGCCCAAGAGGCUCUUGAAGUUAAUGGUGAACCAUUGCUUGACCAUCCACUAAAACUUGAUUUAGUUAAGUAAAAAGUAAAUACACUCUCGGUACCAGCAAUGAGAGAUCUUUCCAAAAGAGUGCGCAGACUUCAGCACUAACUGCGUUUAUAAGUGGAAUACUCUUGGGAAACUCUUUGGCCAAUGUGAAGAGGUUUCAAGGAUUUUUCUUCCUAAAGAUUUUGAGUCACGUGAGACAAAAAGAUACGGCAUGAGAGUUAGCUGUUGGUUACAAGUUUACUCCCCACCAUGACAACAGCAAGGGGCAUGAGAAUUAGCCGUUGGUUGCAAGUUUACUCCUCACCGUGACAACAAGGUGGCCAGUUACAAAUUUGCAGCAUUUAAAUGCAGUGAGUGUAUGGACUUGAUGAAAACAACCUAGAAAUAGUUUUUAGUUUAUGUAUAGUGGUUUCUCUUUGUAACUUUUGUGGAUCGGUUUUGAUGAUUAGUUUAUGUUUUUAAUUAGUAUUUAAACCGAAAACUUACGUAUGCUUUUUGGGUUAUUAUUGUUUAUAUCAUUUGUCUUUUAGUUUCUC
RNAcentral lists this long non-coding RNA (900 nucleotides) under Helianthus annuus (common sunflower). Lineage: Eukaryota; Viridiplantae; Streptophyta; Magnoliopsida; Asterales; Asteraceae. The record is from RNAcentral.